RNAcentral lists this transfer RNA (77 nucleotides) under Blattabacterium sp. (Blattella germanica) str. Bge. RNAcentral describes it as "tRNA-Thr". It matches the Rfam family "tRNA". Rfam says of the family: Transfer RNA (tRNA) molecules are approximately 80 nucleotides in length. Their secondary structure includes four short double-helical elements and three loops (D, anti-codon, and T loops). Further hydrogen bonds mediate the characteristic L-shaped molecular structure. tRNAs have two regions of fundamental functional importance: the anti-codon, which is responsible for specific mRNA codon recognition, and the 3' end, to which the tRNAs corresponding amino acid is attached (by aminoacyl-tRNA synthetases). tRNAs cope with the degeneracy of the genetic code in two manners: having more than one tRNA (with a specific anti-codon) for a particular amino acid; and 'wobble' base-pairing, i.e. permitting non-standard base-pairing at the 3rd anti-codon position. The record is from RNAcentral. Lineage: Bacteria; Pseudomonadati; Bacteroidota; Flavobacteriia; Flavobacteriales; Blattabacteriaceae.
GGCCAAUGUAGCUCAGUGGUAGAGCACUUCCUUGGUAAGGAAGAGGGCACGGGUUCAAUUCCCGCCGUUGGCUUUUU